Molecule: ribosomal RNA, 649 nt
Filed under: Lichtheimia corymbifera
Lineage: Eukaryota; Fungi; Mucoromycota; Mucoromycetes; Mucorales; Lichtheimiaceae
Description: partial large subunit ribosomal RNA
Rfam family: Eukaryotic large subunit ribosomal RNA
Source: RNAcentral
AGAGGGAAAAGCUCAAAGUUGGAACCUGGCUGUCCUAGAUAGUCCGGAUUGUAAACUAAAGAGCGUGAAUCCAGGCAAGCCGGUUGAUCAAGUCCUUUGGAAUGAGGCGCCACUGAGGGUGAGAGCCCCGUAAAUCGACUGAGCAUUUGUCUUUUGUGUUUCGCGUUCAAAGAGUCAGGUUGUUUGGGAAUGCAGCCUAAAGCUGGUGGUAAAUCCCACCUAAAGCUAAAUACAGGCGAGAGACCGAUAGCGAACAAGUACCGUGAGGGAAAGAUGAAAAGUACUUUGAAAAGAGAGUUAAACAGUAUGUGAAAUUGCCAAGAGGGAAGCAUUUGGAGUUAGACUGACUUGGAGUUAAUCAGCUUGGUCUUUGGACUGGGUGUACUUGACUUCUAUGUCUGCCAAUAGCAGUUAGUCCUGGUGGAAAAAACUGAAGGGAAGGUAGUCCUUCGGGAUGUUUAUAGACCUUUGGAAAAUACACUGGGAUUGACUGAGGAAUGCAGUAGAUGCUAUUAAGGCUUCGUCUAGUAGGUGUUAGGUGAAGGUACUUGGUAUUUUCAGCUUGCUGAUGUGCUAGGUUACUUGAGCUUAAUUGCUUGCUAGAACUGUAAUCUACUUUGGUUAUUGGCUUAAUGACUCUAAAUGGCCG